Molecule: long non-coding RNA, 950 nt
Organism: Nerophis ophidion (straightnose pipefish)
Lineage: Eukaryota; Metazoa; Chordata; Actinopteri; Syngnathiformes; Syngnathidae
Exons: 3
Source: RefSeq, a predicted model, not a curated record
ACUUUUUAUUUUAAAAAAUAAAUAAAAUGUUUUUAAAUAAAAACUAUCUCGUGGCCACGAGAAAGUUUCUCGUGCGCACGAGAAAGCAUUGGAUGCGUGCACGUGGUUUGAGGUGUGUUUUAAAAUGGCAGUUUAGGAGUUUAUGCGGCUCUAUUUCCAACAAAGACGUUCCCUCGCCCAUAAUCUCCCGUCGCUCAGCAGUUUUGAUACCUGUUAUUAAACAGAGAUGGCUGCAGUAGAUUUAUUCAUGUUCCUUCAAAUGCGGAAUAUACCUGAAAGUGUCAUCAACAAACUAAAAGAAGACAAGAUCGACACCAAUGUCAUAGGCAUUAUGACAGAUAAGGAGUUAAGCAAUUAUAUCGAAAGAUAUGGGGAUCGACUUGCGCUCAGAGCAUUUUGCCGUCAAAGAACUGUGACAAACGAAGAGCCGAGACAGUGAAGUCCUCCCUCAUGCAGAAAUUAAGAGACAGGUUAAGAACUCCUAAUACUGUACAAGGCACCGCUACUGGCCAAAAAAAGGCAGCCAAAAUCACCCGGCGGGUUGAAAUGGGAUGGCUCCACUUUGAGAGUGGAAUGUAUCACCAGGUUAGAACGAGAAAAGGAGGAGGAACACGGAAUCUGUCGGUCCAGAAAUCAGUGACUAUGGGUGAACUGUUGGAGACAGGCAAAUGCUUGUUUUUUUGCAAAUGGGCAUUCAUCAAAAGGACUGAUAGAAGACUUCGAGUUUGACAUUUGUGAUUACAGUCACAGUCCUGUGCCCCGUGAAGUCACGGUGGGCCAGCUGUACGAACAGACUAAACUAAAAAUGCUACGCGUCUACACAGCCACCAAGUCUAACAACAUUCUACUUCUCUCUGAUGAAUCAUCGGACAUGGAGCCAACACAGAAAACGCCGCUGAAAGCUAGGUCUAGGACAAUGAAGACACGAUCCUUGAGGAACAAGACCAGGA